This 468-nucleotide ribosomal RNA is filed under the name uncultured bacterium. RNAcentral's name for it is "partial 16S ribosomal RNA". It matches the Rfam family "Bacterial small subunit ribosomal RNA", at positions 28 to 507 of the family's 1533-position model. The record is from RNAcentral.
GACGAACGCUGGCGGCGUGCUUAACACAUGCAAGUCGAACGGAAAGGCCCUGCUUUUGUGGGUUGCUCGAGUGGCGAACGGGUGAGUAACACGUGAGUAACCUGCCCUUGACUUUGGGAUAACUUCAGGAAACUGGGGCUAAUACCGGAUAGGAGCUCUUGCUGCAUGGUGGGGGUUGGAAAGUUUCGGCGGUUGGGGAUGUACUCGCGGCUUAUCAGCUUGUUGGUGUGGUAGUGGCUUACCAAGGCUUUGACGGAUAGCCUGCCUGAGAGGGUGACCGGCGACAUGGGGACUGAGAGACGGACCAGAAUGCUACGGGAGGCAGCAGUGGGGAGUAUUGCACAAUGGGCGGAAGCCAGAUGCAGAAACGCCGCGUGCGGGAUAACGGCCUUCGGGUUGUAAACCGCUUUCGAAUGUGACGAAGAGUGAGUGACGGUAAUGGGUAAGGAAGCACCGGCUAACUACGUG